Molecule: ribosomal RNA, 253 nt
Filed under: uncultured bacterium
Lineage: Bacteria
Description: partial 16S ribosomal RNA
Rfam family: Bacterial small subunit ribosomal RNA
Source: RNAcentral
UACGUAGGGUGCAAGCGUUAUCCGGAAUUAUUGGGCGUAAAGAGCUCGUAGGCGAUUUGUCGCGUCUGCUGUGAAAACUGGAGGCUCAACCUCCAGCCUGCAGUGGGUACGGGCAGACUAGAGUGCGGUAGGGGAGAUUGGAAUUCCUGGUGUAGCGGUGGAAUGCGCAGAUAUCAGGAGGAACACCGAUGGCGAAGGCAGAUCUCUGGGCCGUAACUGACGCUGAGGAGCGAAAGCAUGGGGAGCGAACAGG